GAUGAACGCUGGCGGCGUGCCUAAUACAUGCAAGUAGAACGAUGAGGGAAGGAGCUUGCUCUUUCCGGAUUAGUUGCGAACGGGUGAGUAACGCGUAGAUAACCUACCUGUUAGCGGGGGAUAACUAUUGGAAACGAUAGCUAAUACCGCAUAACAGUAGAUGUUGCAUGAUAUCUACUUAAAAGGUGCAAUUGCACCACUACCAGAUGGACCUGCGUUGUAUUAGCUAGGUGGUGAAGUAACGGCUCACCAAAGCGACGAAUCAGAACCGACCCGGGAGGGGGAUCGGCCACACCGGGAACGGGACACGGCCCAGAAUCCCACGGGAGGGAGCAGUAGGGAAACCUUCGGAAAGGGCGGAAGGCUGAACGGGCCAAGCCGCGUGAGUGAAGAAGGUUUUCGGGUCGUAAAACUCUGUUGUAAGGGAAGAAACAGAGUGGGAAUGGAAAGUUCACACCGUGACGGUACCUUAUCAGAAAGCCACGGCUAACUACGUG
This 497-nucleotide ribosomal RNA is filed under the name uncultured bacterium. RNAcentral describes it as "partial 16S ribosomal RNA". It matches the Rfam family "Bacterial small subunit ribosomal RNA", at positions 28 to 507 of the family's 1533-position model. The record is from RNAcentral.